GGGCCCGUAGUCUAGUUGGUAGGACGUCGCCCUCACGCGGCGAAGGUCGCCGGUUCAAGUCCGGCCGGGCCCACCA
This 76-nucleotide transfer RNA is filed under the name Candidatus Bathyarchaeota archaeon. RNAcentral describes it as "tRNA-Val". It matches the Rfam family "tRNA". From Rfam's summary of the family: Transfer RNA (tRNA) molecules are approximately 80 nucleotides in length. The record is from RNAcentral. Lineage: Archaea; Thermoproteati; Candidatus Bathyarchaeota. RNAcentral also lists the same sequence under 1 other name.